Molecule: ribosomal RNA, 419 nt
Filed under: Polycricus sp. JM-2013
Lineage: Eukaryota; Metazoa; Arthropoda; Chilopoda; Geophilomorpha; Geophilidae
Description: partial large subunit ribosomal RNA
Rfam family: Bacterial large subunit ribosomal RNA
Source: RNAcentral
AGGUAGCAUAAUCAUUAGUUUCUUAAUUGGGGUCUGGUAUGAAUGGUUUGAACGGGGAUUAACUGUCUUCUUUUGGUAUUUUGAAUUUUAGUUUAUUGUGAAGACGCAAUAAUGUUUCCAUAAGACGAGAAGACCCUAUAAAGCUUUAUUGGUGAGAUGAUUAUUUUUAUUGUUUGAUAAUUUUGUUGGGGCGACAUAUAAAUUUAGUGUAAAACAGUUGUUUUUAUUGAUUUUGGUCUUUUAUACCACUAAAGAUCUGCUAUUAGUGACCUUCGGAUAAGCUACUUUAGGGAUAACAGCGUAAUUAUAUUAAAGAGUUCUUAUUGAUGGUAUAGUUUGCGACCUCGAUGUUGAAUUAGGAUAUCUGGGGGCUGCAGGAAGUUCUUAUAGAUGGUCUGUUCGACCAUUAAAUUCCUACA